AACGAACGCUGGCGGCAGGCCUAACACAUGCAAGUCGAGCGAGGUAGCAAUACCUAGCGGCGGACGGGUGAGUAACGCGUGGGAACGUACCCUUUGCUACGGAAUAGCCCCGGGAAACUGGGAGUAAUACCGUAUGUGCUCUUUCAUUGUAGUGAUGGGGGAGAAAGAUUUAUCGGCAAGGGAUCGGCCCGCGUUGGAUUAGGUAGUUGGUGGGGUAAUGGCCUACCAAGCCGACGAUCCAUAGCUGGUUUGAGAGGAUGAUCAGCCACACUGGGACUGAGACACGGCCCAGACUCCUACGGGAGGCAGCAGUGGGGAAUCUUAGACAAUGGGCGCAAGCCUGAUCUAGCCAUGCCGCGUGAUCGAUGAAGGCCUUAGGGUUGUAAAGAUCUUUCAGGGGGGAAGAGUAAUGACUGUACCCCCAGAAGAAGCCCCGGCUAACUCCGUG
RNAcentral lists this ribosomal RNA (448 nucleotides) under uncultured bacterium. RNAcentral's name for it is "bacterial SSU rRNA". It matches the Rfam family "Bacterial small subunit ribosomal RNA", at positions 29 to 507 of the family's 1533-position model. The record is from RNAcentral.